This 449-nucleotide ribosomal RNA is filed under the name uncultured bacterium. Its description in RNAcentral is "partial 16S ribosomal RNA". It matches the Rfam family "Bacterial small subunit ribosomal RNA", at positions 29 to 523 of the family's 1533-position model. The record is from RNAcentral.
AGCGAACGCUGGCGGCAGGCCUAACACAUGCAAGUCGAACGGAUCCCUCGGGAUUAGUGGCGGACGGGUGAGUAACACGUGGGAACGUGCCCUUUGGUUCGGAACAACUCAGGGAAACUUGAGCUAAUACCGGAUGUGCCCUUCGGGGGAAAGAUUUAUCGCCAUUGGAGCGGCCCGCGUCUGAUUAGCUAGUUGGUGAGGUAAAGGCUCACCAAGGCGACGAUCAGUAGCUGGUCUGAGAGGAUGAUCAGCCACAUUGGGACUGAGACACGGCCCAAACUCCUACGGGAGGCAGCAGUGGGGAAUCUUGCGCAAUGGGCGAAAGCCUGACGCAGCCAUGCCGCGUGAAUGAUGAGGGUCUUAGGAUUGUAAAAUUCUUUCACCGGGGACGAUAAUGACGGUACCCGGAGAAGAAGCCCCGGCUAACUUCGUGCCAGCCGCCGCAGUAA